CUGCUUGUUUAUUUGCUUCCAUUCCUCUGUCCCUUCUUCACACAUGUCUACAUAAUACCCUGUAAUUGGACCUGCACCUAUGUACAGUGGUGCUUGCCAGUGCAACAUCAGGGAGGAAUCUCUCACUUCAGUGAACUUCACAUCAUAAGGAGGACCUGGUUCUGGCAUUGUCCAUUCCUCACAUUUGAACAAGUCGCUGGGUUCAG
Molecule: long non-coding RNA, 206 nt
Filed under: Gallus gallus (chicken)
Lineage: Eukaryota; Metazoa; Chordata; Aves; Galliformes; Phasianidae
Source: RNAcentral